AGCAGUCGCCGCGGGAAUACGGAGGGUGCAAGCGUUAUCCGGAUUUAUUGGGUUUAAAGGGUCCGUAGGCGGACUUAUAAGUCAGUGGUGAAAGCCUGUCGCUUAACGAUAGAACUGCCAUUGAUACUGUAAGUCUUGAGUAUAUUUGAGGUAGCUGGAAUAAGUAGUGUAGCGGUGAAAUGCAUAGAUAUUACUUAGAACACCAAUUGCGAAGGCAGGUUACCAAGAUAUAACUGACGCUGAGGGACGAAAGCGUGGGUAGCGAACAGGAUUAGAUACCCCGGUAGUCCCUGUCUCUUAUAU
This 303-nucleotide ribosomal RNA is filed under the name uncultured bacterium. RNAcentral describes it as "partial 16S ribosomal RNA". It matches the Rfam family "Bacterial small subunit ribosomal RNA", at positions 507 to 809 of the family's 1533-position model. The record is from RNAcentral.